This 209-nucleotide ribosomal RNA is filed under the name uncultured bacterium. RNAcentral's name for it is "partial 16S ribosomal RNA". It matches the Rfam family "Bacterial small subunit ribosomal RNA", at positions 568 to 774 of the family's 1533-position model. The record is from RNAcentral.
CACGCAGGCGGUUGUGCAAGUCUGAUGUGAAAGACCUGGGCUCAACUCAGGGAACGCGUUGGAAACUGCAUGACUAGAGUAUUAGAGGGGGAGUCGGAAUUCCUAGUGUAGGGGUGAAAUCUGUUGAUAUUAGGAAGAACACCGGUGGCGAAGGCGGACUCCUGGCUGAAUACUGACGCUGAGGUGCGAAAGCGAUAGGGAGACAAACA